CCCUUAGAUGUUCUGGGCUGCACGCGCGCUACACUGACACACUCAGCGAGUCUCCUGGCCCGAGAGGGUUGGGUAAUCAUGUGAGCGUGUGUCGUGAUGGGGAUAGAAUAUUGUAAUUAUUGCUCUUCAACGAGGAAUUCCUAGUAAACGCAAGUCAUCAGCUUGCAUUGAUUACGUCCCUGCCCUUUGUACACACCGCCCGUCGCACCUACCGAUUGAAUGGUCCGGUGAAAUCUCGGGACGGCGGCUUGGUCGCUUGCGUCCGACUGCUGAAACUUGAUUAAACCAUAUCAUUUAGAGGAAGGUGAAGUCGUAACA
Molecule: ribosomal RNA, 318 nt
Filed under: uncultured eukaryote
Lineage: Eukaryota
Description: partial 18S ribosomal RNA
Rfam family: Eukaryotic small subunit ribosomal RNA
Source: RNAcentral